This 462-nucleotide ribosomal RNA is filed under the name uncultured bacterium. Its description in RNAcentral is "partial 16S ribosomal RNA". It matches the Rfam family "Bacterial small subunit ribosomal RNA", at positions 28 to 507 of the family's 1533-position model. The record is from RNAcentral.
GACGAACGCUGGCGGCGUGCUUAACACAUGCAAGUCGAGCGGAAAGGCCCUUCGGGGUCCUCGAGCGGCGAACGGGUGAGUAACACGUGAGUAACCUGCCCCAGACUUUGGGAUAACCCUCGGGAACGGGGGCUAAUACCGGAUACGACACAGCUUCGCAUGGGGUCUGUGUGGAAAGUUUUUCGGUUUGGGAUGGGCUCGCGGCCUAUCAGCUUGUUGGUGGGGUGAUGGCCUACCAAGGCGACGACGGGUAGCCGGCCUGAGAGGGCGACCGGCCACACUGGGACUGAGACACGGCCCAGACUCCUACGGGAGGCAGCAGUGGGGAAUAUUGCACAAUGGGCGGAAGCCUGAUGCAGCGACGCCGCGUGAGGGAUGACGGCCUUCGGGUUGUAAACCUCUUUCAGCAGGGACGAAGCGUAAGUGACGGUACCUGCAGAAGAAGCGCCGGCCAACUACGUG